Molecule: ribosomal RNA, 301 nt
Filed under: uncultured bacterium
Lineage: Bacteria
Description: partial 16S ribosomal RNA
Rfam family: Bacterial small subunit ribosomal RNA
Source: RNAcentral
UCGCCGCGGGAAUACGAAGGGUGCAAGCGUUACUCGGAAUUACUGGGCGUAAAGCGUGCGUAGGUGGUGGUUUAAGUCCGUUGUGAAAGCCCUGGGCUCAACCUGGGAAUUGCAGUGGAUACUGGGUCACUAGAGUGUGGUAGAGGAUAGUGGAAUUUCCGGUGUAGCAGUGAAAUGCGUAGAGAUCGGAAGGAACAUCUGUGGCGAAGGCGACUAUCUGGGCCAACACUGACACUGAGGCACGAAAGCGUGGGGAGCAAACAGGAUUAGAUACCCCAGUAGUCCCUGUCUCUUAUACACA